GGGGAUUUAGCUCAGUGGCAUAAGCGCCUGCCUGGCAAGCAUGAGGUCUUGAAUUGGAUCCCCA
RNAcentral lists this transfer RNA (64 nucleotides) under Cavia porcellus (domestic guinea pig). It matches the Rfam family "tRNA". From Rfam's summary of the family: Transfer RNA (tRNA) molecules are approximately 80 nucleotides in length. Their secondary structure includes four short double-helical elements and three loops (D, anti-codon, and T loops). Further hydrogen bonds mediate the characteristic L-shaped molecular structure. tRNAs have two regions of fundamental functional importance: the anti-codon, which is responsible for specific mRNA codon recognition, and the 3' end, to which the tRNAs corresponding amino acid is attached (by aminoacyl-tRNA synthetases). tRNAs cope with the degeneracy of the genetic code in two manners: having more than one tRNA (with a specific anti-codon) for a particular amino acid; and 'wobble' base-pairing, i.e. permitting non-standard base-pairing at the 3rd anti-codon position. The record is from Rfam by way of RNAcentral. Lineage: Eukaryota; Metazoa; Chordata; Mammalia; Rodentia; Caviidae.